GACGAUCGAUUAUAGGAACGCGUUUCCAAUCAAGUUUAAGUCACGUCUGAGAACAUCAUGAUUUCCUGGUACAACAUAUUCUUGGUAGCAACCUGCGGCACUUUCGAAAAAAAGCCAAAAGCCAACGUCUUGUGUCUUGACGUUUGUCGAGCGGAGCCAAUAACGCGCUGUUCUUGGAUAAAAUAUACAUACAUAGCGGACAGUAAGAAACCGAGUGAAAGGCAACAAUGUGAAGCAGCAUGGCGAAAAGGUCAACAUAGGCGCAUCGAUCUUUGGGGAUCUUCCAGAGUGGAAGCCAGUCAAAGGUCAGGAUAAAGCAACCAGAGUAAAUGCGGCUAAACAGAAUCAGUUAUGUGAAUGAAGCCUUAAUAAAACAAGGCUACGGAUGCUUUUAUUUCUGCAUCCAUUAUAAAGAGAAAACGGUAUUCUUUUCAAUCCUCGCAACAGGGUACAUAAAAGAUGAAAUGGAAAGAAAGAAAGAACUUUGUAUGCAUGAUGCUGAAAACUGGAAGUUUCGCUUCUAUUAUCUAUAUUCAGUUAUCUGCUGAUGGUGUAAUAAAAAUUGAAGAAGUUUUUUUAUAUUGCAAGUUUAAGUGUUGGUUUUAACAAUGAAGAAUGUUUCA
Long non-coding RNA from Apis cerana (Asiatic honeybee), 623 nucleotides. RefSeq lists it as uncharacterized. The record is from RefSeq and is a predicted model, not a curated record. NCBI's taxonomy places the organism in Eukaryota, Metazoa, Arthropoda, Insecta, Hymenoptera, Apidae.